AAUGAACGCUGGCGGCAUGCCUUACACAUGCGAGUCGAACGGCAGCAUGACCUAGCUUGCUAGGUUGAUGGCGAGUGGCGAACGGGUGAGUAAUGCAUCGGAACGUGCCUUUUAGUGGGGGAUAACGUAGCGAAAGUUACGCUAAUACCGCAUAUUCUCUGAGGAGGAAAGCAGGGGGCCUUCGGGCCUUGCGCUAGAAGAGCGGCCGAUGUCGGAUUAGCUAGUUGGUGAGGUAAAGGCUCACCAAGGCAACGAUCCGUAGCGGGUCUGAGAGGAUGAUCCGCCACACUGGGACUGAGACACGGCCCAGACUCCUACGGGAGGCAGCAGUGGGGAAUUUUGGACAAUGGGCGCAAGCCUGAUCCAGCCAUGCCGCGUGAGUGAAGAAGGCCUUCGGGUUGUAAAGCUCUUUCGGCUGGGAAGAAAUCGCACUCUCUAAUACAGGGUGUGGAUGACGGUACCAGCAUAAGAAGCACCGGCUAACUACGUG
This 490-nucleotide ribosomal RNA is filed under the name uncultured bacterium. Its description in RNAcentral is "partial 16S ribosomal RNA". It matches the Rfam family "Bacterial small subunit ribosomal RNA", at positions 29 to 507 of the family's 1533-position model. The record is from RNAcentral.